AUGAACGCUGGCGGCGUGCCUAAUACAUGCAAGUCGCGCGAACAGACGAGGAGCUUGCUCCUCUGACGUUAGCGGCGGACGGGUGAGUAACACGUGGAUAACCUACCUAUAAGACUGGGAUAACUUCGGGAAACCGGAGCUAAUACCGGAUAAUAUAUUGAACCGCAUGGUUCAAUAGUGAAAGACGGUUUUGCUGUCACUUAUAGAUGGAUCCGCGCCGCAUUAGCUAGUUGGUAAGGUAACGGCUUACCAAGGCAACGAUGCGUAGCCGACCUGAGAGGGUGAUCGCCCCCACAGGAACUGAGACACGGCCCAGACCCCUACGGGAGGCAGGAGUAGGGAAUCUUCCGAAAUGGGCGAAACCCUGACGGAGCAACGCCGGGGGGGUGAUGAAGGUCUUCGGAUCGUAAAACUUUUUUUUUAGGGAAAAAAAAAUGUGUAAGUAACUAUGCACGUUUUGACGGUACCUAAUCAGAAAGCCCCGGCUAACUACGG
Molecule: ribosomal RNA, 495 nt
Filed under: uncultured bacterium
Lineage: Bacteria
Description: partial 16S ribosomal RNA
Rfam family: Bacterial small subunit ribosomal RNA
Source: RNAcentral